GGAGAAGUGCCAGAGCGGUCGAAUGGGGCGGUCUCGAAAACCGUUAUGGGGGUGACUCCAUCCAGGGUUCGAAUCCCUGCUUCUCCGCCA
RNAcentral lists this transfer RNA (90 nucleotides) under Magnetococcales bacterium. RNAcentral's name for it is "tRNA-Ser". It matches the Rfam family "tRNA". Rfam says of the family: Transfer RNA (tRNA) molecules are approximately 80 nucleotides in length. The record is from RNAcentral. Lineage: Bacteria; Pseudomonadati; Pseudomonadota; Magnetococcia; Magnetococcales.